Molecule: transfer RNA, 57 nt
Filed under: Loxodonta africana (African savanna elephant)
Lineage: Eukaryota; Metazoa; Chordata; Mammalia; Proboscidea; Elephantidae
Rfam family: tRNA
About the family: Transfer RNA (tRNA) molecules are approximately 80 nucleotides in length. Their secondary structure includes four short double-helical elements and three loops (D, anti-codon, and T loops). Further hydrogen bonds mediate the characteristic L-shaped molecular structure. tRNAs have two regions of fundamental functional importance: the anti-codon, which is responsible for specific mRNA codon recognition, and the 3' end, to which the tRNAs corresponding amino acid is attached (by aminoacyl-tRNA synthetases). tRNAs cope with the degeneracy of the genetic code in two manners: having more than one tRNA (with a specific anti-codon) for a particular amino acid; and 'wobble' base-pairing, i.e. permitting non-standard base-pairing at the 3rd anti-codon position.
Source: Rfam by way of RNAcentral
GGCACAGUGGUUAGAGUGCUCAGCUGUUAACUGAGAGGUUGGUGGUUCAAGCCUACC